GAAAAAGGAAAAAAAAACC
This 19-nucleotide small RNA is filed under the name Arabidopsis thaliana (thale cress). Its description in RNAcentral is "ATSL076720". The record is from RNAcentral. Lineage: Eukaryota; Viridiplantae; Streptophyta; Magnoliopsida; Brassicales; Brassicaceae.